UCACGUUUCAGUAUUCUUUUUCUUCAAGAUGAAGAGGAAUAGAAAAUCUCCUUGUUGAUAGCAAAAUUAAUGCAUGACCACCCAACAUCGAUUCGAGAUCUUAAAAAGCACGUUCCUACGGAGGCUGAAGCUGGCAUCGCGAGAAGUUAUGGCGGAGAGCACUGAACUCCAACAGCACACGGUCGUUCCAUCGUCAUCUUUGAUACCAUCAUCAUCAUCUUUGACAUCAGGGAUCACGAUCGGCCUCAACCUCCGCCAGUCACCGUCGCC
This 270-nucleotide unclassified non-coding RNA is filed under the name Bombus terrestris (buff-tailed bumblebee). RNAcentral's name for it is "misc RNA ENSBTSG00005028419.1". The record is from RNAcentral. Lineage: Eukaryota; Metazoa; Arthropoda; Insecta; Hymenoptera; Apidae.